RNAcentral lists this transfer RNA (74 nucleotides) under Litorilinea aerophila. It matches the Rfam family "tRNA". From Rfam's summary of the family: Transfer RNA (tRNA) molecules are approximately 80 nucleotides in length. Their secondary structure includes four short double-helical elements and three loops (D, anti-codon, and T loops). Lineage: Bacteria; Bacillati; Chloroflexota; Caldilineae; Caldilineales; Caldilineaceae. The record is from Rfam by way of RNAcentral. RNAcentral also lists the same sequence under 2 other names.
GGGUCCCUAGCUCAAUUUGGCAGAGCAGCGGCCUUUUAAGCCGCGGGUUCUGGGUUCGAGUCCCAGGGGGCUCA